Molecule: ribosomal RNA, 497 nt
Filed under: uncultured bacterium
Lineage: Bacteria
Description: partial 16S ribosomal RNA
Rfam family: Bacterial small subunit ribosomal RNA
Source: RNAcentral
GAUGAACGCUGGCGGCGUGCCUAAUACAUGCAAGUCGAGCGAACAGACGAGGAGCUUGCUCCUCUGACGUUAGCGGCGGACGUGUGAGUAACACGUGGAUAACCUACCUAUAAGACUGGGAUAACUUCGGGAAACCGGAGCUAAUACCGGAUAAUAUAUUGAACCGCAUGGUUCAAUAGUGAAAGACGGUUUUGCUGUCACUUAUAGAUGGAUCCGCGCCGCAUUAGUUAGUUGGUAAGGUAACGGCUUACCAAGGCAACGAUGCGUAGCCGACCUGAGAGGGUGAUAGGCCACACUGGAACUGGGACACGGACAAGACUCCUACGGGAGGCAGCAGUAGGGAAUCUUCCGCAAUGGGCGAAAGCCUGACGGAGCAACGCCGCGUGAGUGAUGAAGGUCUUCGGAUCGUAAAACUCUGUUAUUAGGGAAGAACAAAUGUGUAAGUAACUAUGCACGUCUUGACGGUACCUAAUCAGAAAGCCACGGCUAACUACGUG